This is a non-coding RNA of Bemisia tabaci, 3119 nucleotides long. NCBI's taxonomy places the organism in Eukaryota, Metazoa, Arthropoda, Insecta, Hemiptera, Aleyrodidae. The record is from RefSeq and is a predicted model, not a curated record.
GUCAGCUCUUGUGAGUGCGCUUACAUAAACUUUAAACUUUUGCAUAAACAUUUUUCGGUUACUCGUGCUAAUCUCUUCAAAGUGAAAGCUGAGAAAUGGCCGAUUGCUUUUUCCACCUCUCACUCAUCAGCAUCACGGAAAGACAAGAAAAAAAGGUAGAAGGAUAGAGGGAAGUAGCGGUCCCAAGAGGUGUAUUAGGCGUUUGGAUGACUCGACUCGACACGUCGACAUACUCUUUCGACAUCGUCGUUUUCUUGCCUGUGAUCUGCAACGUAUAUUUCACCUACUAAAACACGAUUACUGAACAUCCCCUGCCCCUGCAUUCAAGGAUAAUGGAGUUUGAUUGCAGAAGACUACCCUUAGUCUCACUGGAGCUGUUCCAGGAAAGUUCUGAAUUUUUCCCAUAUAGUCACACUCAAGAUCCAGUAGACACAGGUUAACUCUAAAAUCCUAGAAAUUAAAAGAUUCACCGACAUGUUAAGUAUAAGUAGUUUUCAAAUGGAACAUGUAUACUCCGUGGAGACCCCUUUUUAUGCGUUGUAUUCAGGAAAAAUACUUGACAAAAUCAAGAAAAAUAUUGGCUGAAAUAGGACCUUGUCGUGUUUGGAUUGAUUUUCCUCCAGUUUCAAAGGAUUUUUCCUAGAUUCAAUCCUCGUUUUUGCCAACUUUUAAGAAGAUUUGUAACUCUUCAGGAAAAAGGAUCUGAGUCCACAAGAAAGUGUUCUACAGAAGCAGUUUGAAGGAAAAAAUGUCACAUCAAGCUAGAGUUACGAUGGCUCGAAGUAUGCAGUUCGAAGAAAAGACCUCAAAAAAAAGCUACUCGAAAUUCUAAUUUGCCAUUUUCAGAACACAAAGUUGUUGUGGACCUUCAAGCCCUCUAUCCGCUCAAAAAUGAAUUGAGCCUUUAAUCCAUGAAUUGCAGCUUAUUGGUUAAAUAGUGUAUAGUGCACAGGAAAAGAAAUGCUGCGCACUGAUGGAACAUUAAAGUAAGUGACAACGUCUACUUUGAUAGAGAUUGUUUAUCCGAAGUCAGUUCUUGAUUUACUGUGCUCAACAAUCACCUCAAUCAAUGCAAUGUCUAGUUUUCGUCUUCGAACAUCAUUUCAGUGUCAGCUGAUCGGUAAUGUGAGCAGUUUCACUGCCAUUAUUAGGUUCUCACCCAUGUAUUCCAUAGACAAAGGCUGUAAAUUUUGAAAUAUUUCGGGAACUUGUGGGGGGAGGGGGGGGGGCUAGUAUAUGAUUUACAUUGUAUUAGUUAUUGAUAUCUGCUUCUUUUCUGUGGCCAUAAUGUUGUCAUGGCAGUCAUUGAACUAUAAUACUUCACUAUCUUAUCAUUCUUUUUUGUAAGUUGUAUUGCGUCUCAGGCUGAGGGAGAAAUCCAGUCUUACAAUUUUUUGAUUUGGUAUUUUCCUCCUGAAUGGUACAUCAUUUGAAUGUAUAUAGGACAUAACUGUAAACCACAGGUUACCAUCUAAUACUUUUUAAAAUGGUUGUACUUAGUGAAAUUUCCAAAUAGGUAUAAAAUAUGAAUUUUAACAGACAAUUUUGAUCACCCAGUUUCAAUUUAUCUGGAUCUGAACUUUCAUGAAAACUGAAUCGGCUUAUAUGUAUCAAUGGAAACAGAGACAGAUCGAAAACAUAGCUCUGCAGCUUAUAAGGACGGAUUUUCAAGGUGUGGAUUGGACGAAAAAGUAGACUGUAAAAUAAGGAAGGAAGAGGGAGGGAGAAGUCAGUUAUUCAAACUCGGUGACUUCGUAGUCACCUUUAGUUGAGGGCUCCUUUAAUGCAGCUCUCCAGAACUUAAACAUGGUCAACAUAAAUCUGCUGCUUAAAAAAAAAAAAAAAAAUCAUUGUAGGAAAGUUUCCUCACAAAGUCUUGCCUUGUUUUUAGUCGUACGGUAUUCGGCCUCGCAGUGGCAUCUUUCCGCGCACACAGGAAAAAGCCCGCGGAUUCCGGGGUUUCGACCUUAGCAGGAGACAAUGGCUGAUCAACUAUAAACAUCAGCUUAGUGAACCCAGCGACUUGGCACCAACGCUGGGUUCACUGAGCUGGUUUACGGCCACCUGCUUGCGAUGUUGUUUUGCCUUGCACUAACAUAAAAGCAUUCACUUAUAUUGAUAAUUAAAUCGGAAAGAUGGACAGAUUAAUGAGAGUCUUUUUUUAUUUGGUUACUUUUCGCAUUUCUGUACCUAACAACUUAAAUUUACACCAACAGUGCGAUUCCGCACUUUAACUUAUGCUAAUGAUUAAUUAUUUUGGCGGCAUAUUUACAAUUCAUUUAUUUUUCAUAUCAUCACUAUAAAUCUUCACUAUUAACAUCUAACAUUAUUGUUAACAUUUCUAUAUUCUAAAAUAACACUUGUCUGCAAAUUAAAUGGUUAAUUUGGCUGCAGUUUCAAUUCUGGACGGUAAAUCUGGUUGUUCUUGAUUCCUAAAUUUUCUGAUUAAAGGUAACACAUUUACUAUUAAUCGUUGCCAUAAAGCAUCUAUCAACAUCUAACAUUAUUGUUAAAAUUGCUAUAUUCUAAAAUUCUUGGCAUGAAAUCUUGCUACAUUUACAUUACAUUCAUAAUUACAUACCGGGGUCCUAUGAUUGUUCAGCCCCUCUCCUUCGCCGGACCUGGCCACGGUUCGUUUGAGUAAAAGCCAAACGAAAUUCUCCAUCACUCACAAAGUCCUUUCGAAUCCGAAAAAUAGAGUGAAAAUGGAGCCCCUCCAGCUAUAAAUGAAAAUAGGUUGUUUGAGCUCCUGGAGCAACAUAUCGCUUCCUGCACUUUUUGAGGCUUAGCAGAGGCUGAUACGAAAAUUGACUCAAAGUUUCUGUCCCAAUCCCCAAACCAAGACAGCCAUCGAAAUGAUCCUGGUCUCAUUUCAAAACCGGUGCAUCUUACCGUCGAUUGAGUGGUCUGCAAGCCAAUUCAGUAAAAAAUUGACCAAGUUAUGAUAGUUUGAAUGAAGGGCACUCAAAAUAAGCUUUCUCGUCCUCCUAUCCGAGCAAGGCUCCAUUUUUUCUUCAUUUCCCUUUAAGACUAAUAACACUGGAGUCAAUCUGUAAAAAUUUCAGUAUUUGUACUUCAUUCAACUUUUACUCAAACGAACCGCGCGGCGCGAUCCAGAA